RNAcentral lists this ribosomal RNA (759 nucleotides) under uncultured cyanobacterium. RNAcentral's name for it is "bacterial SSU rRNA". It matches the Rfam family "Bacterial small subunit ribosomal RNA", at positions 28 to 829 of the family's 1533-position model. The record is from RNAcentral. Lineage: Bacteria; Bacillati; Cyanobacteriota.
GAUGAACGCUGGCGGUAUGCUUAACACAUGCAAGUCGAACGGAUGUUUUCGGACAUUAGUGGCGGACGGGUGAGUAACGCGUGAGAAUCUAGCUUCAGGUUGGGGACAACAGUUGGAAACGACUGCUAAUACCGAAUAUGCCGAGAGGUGAAAGAUUAAUUGCCUGAAGAAGAGCUCGCGUCUGAUUAGCUAGUUGGUGGGGUAAGAGCUUACCAAGGCGACGAUCGGUAGCUGGUCUGAGAGGACGAUCAGCCACACUGGGACUGAGACACGGCCCAGACUCCUACGGGAGGCAGCAGUGGGGAAUUUUCCGCAAUGGGCGAAAGCCUGACGGAGCAAUACCGCGUGAGGGAAGAAGGCUCUUGGGUUGUAAACCUCUUUUCUUAGGGAAGAAAAAAAUGACGGUACCUAAGGAAUAAGCAUCGGCUAACUCCGUGCCAGCAGCCGCGGUAAUACGGAGGAUGCAAGCGUUAUCCGGAAUGAUUGGGCGUAAAGCGUCCGCAGGUGGCAAGUCAAGUUUGCGGUUAAAGGUUCUGGCUCAACCAGAGACAGGCCGUGAAAACUGACUAGCUAGAGUAUGGUAGGGGCAGAGGGAAUUCCCAGUGUAGCGGUGAAAUGCGUAGAGAUUGGGAAGAACACCGGUGGCGAAAGCGCUCUGCUAGGCCAAAACUGACACUGAGGGACGAAAGCUAGGGGAGCGAAUGGGAUUAGAUACCCCAGUAGUCCUAGCCGUAAACGAUGGAUACUAGGUGUAGCUUG